AGGCAGCAGUAGGGAAUUUUCGUCAAUGGCGCAAGCCUGAACGAGCGAUGCCGCGUGAGUGAAGAAGGCCUUCGGGUCGUAAAGCUCUGUUGCGGGGGAAAAAAGGCAGCAUCAGGAAAUGGGUGCUGACUGAUGGUGCCCCGCCUAGAAAGUCACGGCUAACUACGUGCC
RNAcentral lists this ribosomal RNA (171 nucleotides) under uncultured bacterium. RNAcentral's name for it is "partial 16S ribosomal RNA". It matches the Rfam family "Bacterial small subunit ribosomal RNA", at positions 346 to 509 of the family's 1533-position model. The record is from RNAcentral.